GAUGAACGCUGGCGGCGUGCCUAAUACAUGCAAGUCGAGCGAACAGACGAGGAGCUUGCUCCUCUGACGUUAGCGGCGGACGGGUGAGUAACACGUGGAUAACCUACCUAUAAGACUGGGAUAACUUCGGGAAACCGGAGCUAAUACCGGAUAAAAUAUUGAACCGCAUGGUUCAAUAGUGAAAGACGGUUUUGCUGUCACUUAUAGAUGGAUCCGUGCCGCAUUAGCUAGUUGGUAAGGUAACGGCUUACCAAGGCGACGAUGCGUAGCCGACCUGAGAGGGUGAACGGCCACACUGGAACUGAGCCACGGUCCAGACUCCUACGGGAGGCAGCAGUAGGGAAUCUUCCGCAAUGGGCGAAAGCCUGACGGAGCAACGCCGCGUGAGUGAUGAAGGUCUUCGGAUCGUAAAACUCUGUUAUUAGGGAAGAACAAAUGUGUAAGUAACUAUGCACGUCUUAACGGUACCUAAUCAGAAAGCCACGGCUAACUACGUG
Molecule: ribosomal RNA, 497 nt
Filed under: uncultured bacterium
Lineage: Bacteria
Description: partial 16S ribosomal RNA
Rfam family: Bacterial small subunit ribosomal RNA
Source: RNAcentral